CCCUUUAACAAAUUAAUGCUUGAUGAUUUUUAAAUCAUAAUUGGGUGUUUUCAACAAGCCCAUGUAGUUUUAGGAUAAACCCCACGUACCUCAAUUUAGAAAUUUGAUGGAUGAUUCUUGAAGCCUACGGUUUGGGGAUUCCAAAUCUUCAAUCAGUUUCAAAAACCUGCGGUUGAAUCUUGAGUUAAUUGGGUUUUUAGUUUAAAACACUAGAGAGUAUUCUUAUGAAUUUUUGAAGAAAAAAUGAAUAAUGUGGUCACUUGGAAGAAAAAUCUCGUUUUUAAGAUGACAAAGGGGAGGUGGAAAUUACCCAAUAUACCCUUAAUGAGAUGGAAUAAAAUAUAAUUGGGAGCUCGAUUUUAUGGGCCACCGCGACACGGAGCCAUCGCAUUGUCCCACUAGUUGGGACCUGGAACUUCAGCACGACGUGACAUAAUCGCGCUAGGCUACUGGAAUUUGACAAUUGUUAAAUACACCACCUCCGCAACGCGCCAAGCACCAAAAUGAUGGUGUUUUACGACUAGGACUUAAAUUAGCCAUAACAUCUUGUCCGGGUAUCGAAUUUGGACGAAUCUUAUAUCAAUGGAAAGCUCAUUCAAUUUUCCAUACUACAUAAUUGAUUAACAUGGAAAAUUUACAUAGGAUUUAUGGCUUUUGGAUCAUCUACGCAUAGAAAUGACAGUUUUCAUUCUAGCCCGAAAUGCGGGGUGUUACAUUAUCUCCCCCCUAGGAUCAUUCGUCCCCGAAUGAUAGGUAGGAACGUUGAAGCUUAAAGUUAAGGAAUAAUGUGUACAUAAUAUGUCUUCUAAGAAAGGAUAUAACUGAUCUGAAACAUUUAAACUUCUAUCAUGAAACUAAAUUCUGAGCUGACUUGCCCUUACUUAUUUUAAGGAGUUGAUUCAUGCUGAGAGUUUAGGAUUUCCCUCGAAGUAUUUAUGCUUAAAUCACAUACAUUGGAUUUGGAAGUGAUAACUUAGGAAAGUAUGAAUCAUGAGGCAGCAAUAUUUAGAUCGUACAAAGGUAUUACACUGUCUGAGCUAAAAUAGCUGGAAAAUUUUGAGAUUAUGUGAUGAACUCUUACGAACUGAGUCAUGACUAAAUAACUGAAUCUGAAACAUGAUGCUUGGACUGAACUGAGUUCGCAACUCACACGGAUGGAAUAGAUUAUCUUUUGAGAUGGCCAUACGCAUUGGACUUCAGAUAGUAGGACUGGGUGAAAAGGUGAAAAACCACAGUAACUCGUCUGCCUGACUGUUAAACUGAAUUAUACUGGACACUUAUACUUAACUAGAGUAUCUCUUCAACACUCCUUCUAAAGAAGUUCUAAUAGCAUUAGGGAGCAAAUAAUCUCUGACAUGAGUUACACAAGACAUCCAACUAAGGAAUCACAACAGUGACACUACUCUAUAGCAUAGAAUAUAAACAUAUAACUCGAAAACUAGGAUAGAAUUACCAAAACUUAGGCAUUGCAGCUUCUUACUUUCAAGAUUAGCCACACUUCUAAAAUACUCUCUCAACUAUACUUUCCCCUUAAACACUAUGCUCAUUGAUCCACUUAUUUUUCUCAUAUGGCCGCUGAUAUUUCCAUCUACUAAUGUCUAAACUGAACUAAAUCCCCUCAUCAUUUUCAAGACUAACUCAAAAUCACAAGACACACCAUAUAAUACUGUAGUACUAGUCUGAAUCAUGAAUUUAGCACACCCUGCAUUUCACAAUUCCUCAUCUCCUGCAUAAUUCUUAUUACCACUCCAGCAAUCACCUUCAACUUUGUAUUAGACAUUCACAAACACUCAAGGCAUCCAUCCAUAUGCAUACAAACAUGACAUUCAAGCCUAUCUUCUUACCCAUAGAUGCACUUCUAAACAACCACUCAUAAAGCAUAUUUCUCAUAUUCUCUAAUACUUGUAUCCAUAAUAACUUCCUUGCACUAUUUAGAUAAUACACAUAAAAUAUUCUCAACUAACCAACCAUACACAAAACUUCACCUCAAAAUUCUUUCAACUUAUAGACUUACAUAAAACAAGCGUACAAUUAUUUUUCCCAAAUAUAACGCAUAAAACUUCAACUAACCUUGACACGUUUCAAAGACUCGGCCUUAAUCUUACUCCACAAUUUCUUCCUUAACUCAAAUAAACAUACCACCAUCUUUCAUCAACAGGAAAUGUUUACGCUUUCCCAUCUAAACAACUGUUCAUCAUCGCUAUCUCGACCUAAGGGAAAAUGUCACUGGAAAUUGGAAUAUCGGAAUCCGAAACAUAAGGGUAGUACUAAGCAUAACUUGAUACCCUACUAAGGCAUGAGAAAUAGAGUACUCACGGCAUGGACUCAUUAAAGAGAUCUAAUCUGAGGACGUACCUGAUAUAAAUCUGAAUUUUCACUGAUCGUUAAGAGUACACAUGUGCACAAGAGUCAUGAACUGCAUGAUCUGAAUUUUGGAAUUCAUAACUUAUGGAAAGCGAUUCUGACUACUAAACGAACUGGGAACUCAUCAUACUAGGAACCAGGAGAGUACAUGAUUCCUUAUCAUAUGCGUGAACACGAGCUAUGACCAUGAAGAUGAAACAUAAAGCAUGAGUAUGUGUCAGAAUAACUGAGGUAAACUGUUGAAAUAAGAAUAGAUUGAGCAUCAUUCUUUCUCACGACCAAUUCCACAACUUACUAGCACAUCUAUUAGCAUCAGAAAACUUGACUUGGUUACUCGUUCUAUCAUCUCCCCCUUAGAUUUAAGCCAUUACUCUAAGUCUGUGGACCACUAUAUACACUAUGGUAUAAACUGAAAUCACUUUACCCUAGAUUCAGGGAUAUAACAAUACACAUAAAACUAAACUUACCCUGUAAGACGAUAUCUUCAUGUAUAAGAACCAAUUCUAGUACCUUCUUCUAAGAUUCAACCCUUAGGUUUCUAUAGUCCCAAAAUUCAUCAUAUAACAUCUUAAACAUUCACCAACUCAGAUUCUUCUAACACUAAACAUGGAUAUCUCCAAACCUUUGACGGACCAUACCACUUCUGUCAUAGUCUACCAACAUCACGACUCCAAACUUAUAUCUCUCUACUAUGAGAAUCAAGAUCAUAUCAAAAGGCUUAACAUUAUCUAUCAAAACUCCUUAACUUGGCUAUUUAGAACACCAUAUACCAUCUAACUAGUCUUUCUCCACCUAGCAACUCAACGGUAUCACUAGCCACACACAAUAUGUAAUAGCCUCAGAAAAAUACUACAACCUCAUAUCACCUUGGGAUACUUCUACUUCAUACAUACAACAUCAUACUUCAUUACAAAUCAAAUAAACUUAAGCUAUUACAUGCACUGUUCAACCCUAUUAGAUCGCUUCCAUAAAACUAGUAUCAUUAACUAAGAAAUAAUCAGAUUCACCUUCAUGACAUUGCUGCAAUGCCUCAAAAUCUACUACAUACCUUCUCACAAGUAGUACUAGUUUACAACUACCAAAGAAAAGAAGGUCAAGGGGUGGGGGGAGGAGGUAGAGUCACAUCAUAGACAUGGUCAUCCUUAAUCUUAUAUUAUGACCUUGUACAAUAUUAUCUACUUAUAUGGCUUUCUCACAUCACACUUACUUACCCAAGCGUAUAUUUAGACUACCUUCAAAUUCCACAAACAACCUUGUGUCUAUAAUUAUAACUUACGGGCUAAUCUAGCCAUUUUCAUACUUCGAGCAAACAACAACUCACCUUAGCUAAUAAUUCCUUCUCUACCUUCUACUAAACUAACACACAAGGAUGUAUCACUUUAAUACCAACUCAAUCUCAAGCAAAAAGGUUCGGCUAUACAUACAUUCAAUAAAUCGCCCUUACCACUUUUUUUGCCAUUACGCCUCUAAGCCCCUAGUUCCAACUAACACAAGAAUCAACAAGAUGGACAACAAGUUGCUAGAGAAUCGAAAUAGACCCCACACGACUCCACUAGACUUUGAUUUUCAACAACACAACGAUAACAAGGUUACAAGAGAUAGAAACUUGACACAUAAUAAUCAAUGAUCUAAGAAUACAUAUCUUACUCUGUAUGAAUAAAAAUCUGAGUCAAACACUCUCCCCACAGACUACCAUACAAUCCACACAUGCUACUAGCUACCAUUAGGGGUGGCAAAUGGGCGGAUUGAAUUGAAUUUGGACGGGUUAAAUAUAGAUCGAACAAAAAUGGUUUGGAUUGCAAUCUGCCCAUAUAAAUAUGAGUAAAUAUGGAUUUGAUCAAAUAUGGAUUGGGUAAAAAUGGUUCCAACCCACUUUAUCUCCUAAAAUCAAAAACUUAAAACUUCUAUAACAUAUCAAUUUGACUUUUUUCCCGCUUCUUUUUUUUUAAGUUUUUUCUUUUUAUUUUUUUUCUCUCUCUUCUAUAUAUAGCCUCUAGUUUUCUUUUUUUUUUUUCUUUUCUUUUUUUUCUCUCUCUUCUAUUUCUACCCUUUGCUUCUCUUUCUUUUUUCUUUUUUUUUCCUUUUUAGUCUCCUUUUUUCUAGUUUUAAUUUUUUUUUAAUUUCUUUCUCUUUUUUUUUCUUUUUUGGUUUUAUUUUAUAAUUUAUAUUUUUUUAUUUUCGAAGAACAUAAUUAAGUCGAGUACAAAUUAUGAAUGAUGACUAAGAUAUCAUAACCACUCAGAAUAUUUGUAUUCAUCAUCAUUUUUUUCUUUUUUCUUUUCUCCUUUUUCAUUAUUUUUUUCUUUCUGAUUUUUUUUGUAUCUUUUUCUUUACGAUUUUUCUCUCUCUUCUAUCUCUAACUUCUACCUCUCUUUCUUCUUCUUUUUUUCUUUAUUAUUUUUUUGAUUUUUGAUUUUCUUCUUUUUUUAUGAUAACGAAAAUACCAUAAGUGCAUAUUGAUUUAUAUUCAUCCAACAUUUAUAAUUUUUGUAAGUACACUCAAGUGGACUCCACCUAAUGAACAGAUACAGAUAUAGUAUCCAGAAAGAUCUUGGAAUUACAUUCGUCAAACCAAAUAUCUUUAGUAGUCGCAAGAAGUACACAAAUCAAGGUUUCUACAUACUUCCUGUCUUGCCUGACCUUGAGCUCCUCGCUUCGUGCCUUACUUCUGCUCUAAUGAGAACUCUAAGAUGAGGGAGUUAGAAGUCAUAUUUGAAGCUGGACUUUCUCAUAAAUCGAAGGCUAUGUGGAUCCUCAGCCAUAUAUGAAAUGGAAUAAAGAUGGACCGAGCUUACUUAAUACAAUUGUACAUUUGUAUUUAUUUUUUAGACUUCAAGCUCAGAUUUGUAUUUUAUAGUUUGCACCGUCAUAUAUAUUUUAUAUAAUUCGCACUUAUAUUUUAUAUAUAUUGAUACAAAUUAUAUUUUAUUGAUAUAAAUUGAACAAUACAAAUAAAAAUAAUAAAAUUAUGCAAAUACAAUUGCUAAAUUACACAAAUACAAAUGUUACAUUCGUAUCAAAUGAUACAUAUUUAUACAACUUGAACCAUACAAAUACUAAUGAUACUUGUUUAUAUACAAAUAUAAAUGAUAAAAAUACUAAUGACACAUUUGCAUUGAAUGAUACAUUGCAUAUUUAUAUAUUUCAAUCUCAAAAAAAUAUAAUUAAUUCAUAUACUUAUUUGUAUAUAAACACAAAUGAUAAAUUGUACAUACUGACAACUAAACUAUUCAAAUACAAAUAAUAAAUUUAUUUGAAAUAUAUAGUAUGAUACAAGUGAAUUUAAAGUAAAAAAAUAUAUAUAAAAAAUAAAAUGCAAUGACAAAAGAAAAAUGAGGAAAAGAAUAUAAAAAAAAGAAAAAUGAAAAAAAUGACGAACCAAGAAUGAAAAAGGUGGAAAUGGAAAUACAAAAAAAAAAAAGGAAUGCAAAGAAAAAAUAAAUAAAAUAGAAAAAGAAAAAAAACUGAUGAAAACUAAGAAAGAAAAAAAGUGUAAGAAACGAGUAAAAAAUAAUUGAAAAAAAUAAAAAAAGGAAAAGGAAAAAAAAAGUAAAUUAAAGGAAAAAAAGAAAGAAAAAAGUAGUAAAUUAAAGGAAAAAAGACAAAAAAGAGAAAUAAAAGAUAGAAAAAAAAAUAAUUAAAGGGAGAGACUAUAUAUAGAUUAUAUUUAAUUGAUAAGAGAUGCUAUGAAUUGUAUAGGCUAAAUGGGAUAAUUAGAAGCUUAUAUUUAUUAACCCAUGUUGGUCUCAAGCGAAUACGAAUGAUGAAAUAAGAAUGAGAAAGGAGAAAAUUAAAAAAAAAAAUACAAAGAAAAAGAAAUAAAAAUAAAAAAUAAAAAAAUAGAUGGAAAGAUGAGAAAAAAAAAAAGAAAUUAUAAGAAACGAGUAAAAAAUUAAAAAAAUGCAAAAGAAAAAAAGUAAAUUAAAGGAAAAAAGAAAGAAAAAAAAAAAGAAACUAGAAAAGAAGGAAAAAAAUGAAAUUUAAAGCAUAGGUGGGUGAUCUCUAUGUUUUAAUGAGUACCCAUAUUUUACCCAUUUUGCCCAUAUUUGUAUGAGCUUUUAAAAUGAGUUUAAGUCCAUAUUUACCCAUUUGAAAUAUGAGUGAUCCAAUUCAAUAAAUAUGGGUUAAAUGGACUCUUUUCACAAAUAUGGGCUGAAAUUGCCACCCCUAGCUACCAUAUCAGUCUAUCAUUAUAAAGGGGUAAAUCAUCCUCAAACACCAGUUAUUCAACUAAAGACAUUUAUCUACACAAAAGUCAUCCUCACUCUGAUUUCUAACCUUGUGACUUCGUAUAACCAACUUCUUGGUCUAAUCUUACUACCAAUAGGCCAUGACACCGACACUUUAACUCAUACUACUAUGCGGGUGAAAAUACAGUUCCAACAUUCUGCUACACCUCAUUCCCUCUUAAGCAUAACAUCUGCAACAUAAAAAUUUUGAAAGGGACUAAAUAGACUUAAUAUCGCAGGCUUAAAAGCACAAGUUCAUCAGAAUCAAAAUUCACACUAGAAUCAAUACACUCUAAGGCACUAACAGACUCUUCACAAGUCCUUUUCCAAUUUUAAAAUCUUAUAUGGCUCAAGCAAAAAGGACUAUACCAUUAAGAUUCUAGACUCCUACACCUGAAUCACUAUAACAAUGAGACAUAUAUGAGCACAUCAUAGUAAGGAAAGAAUUGGGAUGACUUUACUUUCGUAUGGAAGACACCAUAGCACAAAUUAUAGUAUGAAAGAGGAACAUUCUUACUCCAUAGCACGAACUACAACAUGAAGAAAGAGAAACAUUCCUAAAUGCCUAAUAGCCUUCUGCUUAUAAAUGUGGCGCGCUACACACCCAUAAACAAGACUCUACCUGAUACGAUUUCGCAGACACUCUGGGACCAUGAACCAUGCUCUGAUACCAAGUUUCUCACGAUCCGAACUAGGGCAUAGCCAUGACGGAUAUCCCGAACCAUGAAGGUCUAAACAUCCCACUCUAUCUGGUAGUCAUGCACAAUAUUUAUAUAAUAAGAGAAGAUGCAGAAAUACAAUCUGAUAUGGAAGCAUGGUCAUUAACUCGGAGAUUCAAGACAUAAGAACGAAAGCUGCAAUUCAAAACAUUUGAAUAAGAUCUGACUCAGUCUGCAAAAUCUCUACUACAUCUCAAAACUAUUCUGAAAACUGGGACAAGGCCCCCAGUAGACCAAAAUAACAGAAUAACAUAAUAUGAAAUAACAGGCCUUUGGGAACAAAGAAGGCUCACCACUGCACAGAUCACUUCUCUCUGGAAUCCUCUACAUAUUAGUCGGACCCUUGGACUGAGCCUCCAAAUUUGGGAAGUAGGGGGUCAAUAUAGAUAUACUAGUACGCAAAGCAAAUUCAAAAUAAUAAUUUAUAUUUAACAUAUAUGAGAGCAAUUUAAAAUAGUUCAUAAACAUAUCAUAUUGUAAGGAAUCUCAUGGACGCUUUCGAAACACUCUGUAAAAUUAUCUGAACUCUGUGAAACUCUUUAUUUUACUUCUGCGCUAGGUGGUAUACCCUACAACUCUAAAAUUUCACGGGCUAUAUGGAAUCCGCCAUUGACUCGGCGGGGAAGCCUCCAACCCAAGUGUGCCGCAAGGGUUGGAGUCUCUGACUCUGCUACGCCACAUGGCCAUCGCCAGCGUAAAAAUAAUAUACUCGAAUUGGCAAAUCACAAUUUUAGGCUAAGAGUUACUUGACCUCUAGUCCUCUUCAGGCAACCACCUAGCUCUCUUUAUGCCUAUUUUUAACUCUUUUAAGACAUGCAUUCUCUGAAAACAUACUCUGAAAACUCUAACUCUGUUAUGGCAUACAUUUAUAUGGUUUCGUCAUACCAUUGACGUGCAAGUCACAUCUCUGAGCCAUUUUUAGCAUAUUUCCAUCUCUAUUUUCAAAACAUAAGUUCGGGACCACCAUAUCAAUAAAUCAUUUCAAAGAACUCUUUCUCGAAAACUCAUGUAAACACAUGUAUGCAACUCUCUUUGUCAAACUUUCAAUGAUGCAAAGUGGUCAUGUCAAAGCUCUUAAUCUCAUGCAAAUCUUUCUCUUUUAACAAAAUAUAUUUACAUCAAGAAACUCCCUCUCUUAAAUCUCUAAAUCGUUCUCAAAAUACUAUGGUAUUUGAGUAAAUUAUUAUCAAUCCAUAAAUCAUGCAUUUCAAUCAAUCACCAUAAGAUCAUAAACAUAAGGUUAUUAUAAGUGAGGGAUUUUUCAUUAUUUGUGCACUCAAAUAAAUCUUCAAUUUCAAGUUUCAUACAUAUACUUAUAUGUGUAAAUCAAUUUAAGGGGAUAAGGCCUAAAGUUCAAAACAACAAUAUCAUUAAACAUGCAUAAGGCAUAAUAAAAUCAUGGAUCUCAAAACUCCUUUGAUAAAUUCAUGUUUGAUGAUUUUUAAAUCAUAAUUGGGUGUUUUCAACAAGCCCAUGUAGUUUUAGGAUAAACCCUUCGUACCUCAAUUUAGAAAUUUGAUGAUGAUUCUUAAAGCCUACAGUUUAGGGAUUUCAAAUCUUCAAUCAGUUUCGAAAACCCACGGUUGAAUCUUAAGUUAUUUAGGUUUUUAGUUGGAAACCCUAGAGAGUGUUCUUAUGAAUUUUUGAAGAAAA
Molecule: long non-coding RNA, 8965 nt
Filed under: Capsicum annuum
Lineage: Eukaryota; Viridiplantae; Streptophyta; Magnoliopsida; Solanales; Solanaceae
Description: long non-coding RNA (CANN_LNC015206)
Source: RNAcentral